This 528-nucleotide ribosomal RNA is filed under the name Triticum aestivum (bread wheat). RNAcentral describes it as "partial small subunit ribosomal RNA". Lineage: Eukaryota; Viridiplantae; Streptophyta; Magnoliopsida; Poales; Poaceae. The record is from RNAcentral.
UGGUGGUUGACAUGUGUCUACGGCCCCCAGGAGGAGGCCGACAAACUUGAGUUCCUACAAGACCUGGUGGAUAUACGGGACCUGCACGCGGGGCCUUGGCUAGUUGCUGGAGACUUUAAUCUCAUAGCUGGGCAGGAGGACAAGAACAAUGAUUUGAUUAAUCGGAGGAUGUUAAGGCGGUUCAGAUCUAAGCUGAACAUGCUAGAACUGAAGGAGUUAUACCUGAAUGGGCGACGAUACACUUGGUCCAACGAGAGGCAGAACGCAACACUAGAGAAAAUCGAUCAUGUCUUUGUCUCCAAUGAAUGGGAUGAAGCAUUCCCAUCAUGUUUCCUUUCUGCGCUGGGUACGGCAGUAUCGGAUCACUGCCCACUGCUUCUCGAUAUGAACUUGGAGAUUAUGACGAGGAAAAGGUUCAAGUUUGAGGCGUUCUGGGUCAAGGCAGAGGGAUUCAUGGAAACAGUACAGGCGGCUUGGGACUCCACCCCUGUGGCCUCGAAUGACUAUCUUACGCUCCAGAACAAGCUG